RNAcentral lists this ribosomal RNA (316 nucleotides) under uncultured Alphaproteobacteria bacterium. RNAcentral's name for it is "bacterial SSU rRNA". It matches the Rfam family "Bacterial small subunit ribosomal RNA", at positions 9 to 355 of the family's 1533-position model. The record is from RNAcentral. Lineage: Bacteria; Pseudomonadati; Pseudomonadota; Alphaproteobacteria.
GAGUUUGAUCCUGGCUCAGAACGAACGCUGGCGGCAGGCCUAACACAUGCAAGUCGAGCGCUGUAGCAAUACAGAGCGGCGCACGGGUGAGUAACACGUGGGAACGUGCCCUUUGGUUCGGAAUAACUCAGGGAAACUUGAGCUAAUACCGGAUGAGCCCUAACGGGGAAAGAUUUAUCGCCGAAGGAGCGGCCCGCGUUGGAUUAGCUAGUUGGUGGGUAAAGCCUACCAAGGCAACGAUCCAUAGCUGGUUUGAGAGAACGACCAGCCACACUGGGACUGAGACACGGCCCAGACUCCUACGGGAGGCAGCAGU